This 405-nucleotide ribosomal RNA is filed under the name uncultured bacterium. RNAcentral describes it as "bacterial SSU rRNA". It matches the Rfam family "Bacterial small subunit ribosomal RNA", at positions 356 to 773 of the family's 1533-position model. The record is from RNAcentral.
GGGGAAUAUUGCACAAUGGGCGAAAGCCUGAUGCAGCGACGCCGCGUGAGGGAUGAAGGCCUUCGGGUUGUAAACCUCUUUCAGCAGGGAAGAAGCGAAAGUGACGGUACCUGCAGAAGAAGCGCCGGCUAACUACGUGCCAGCAGCCGCGGUAAUACGUAGGGCGCAAGCGUUGUCCGGAAUUAUUGGGCGUAAAGAGCUCGUAGGCGGUUUGUCGCGUCUGCUGUGAAAACCCGAGGCUCAACCUCGGGCUUGCAGUGGGUACGGGCAGACUAGAGUGCGGUAGGGGAGACUGGAAUUCCUGGUGUAGCGGUAAAAUGCACAGAUAUCAGGAGGAACACCGAUGGCGAAGGCAGGUCUCUGGGCCGCAACUGACGCUGAGGAGCGAAAGCAUGGGUAGCAAAC